AGAGUUUGAUCAUGGCUCAGGAUAAACGCUGGCGGCGCACAUAAGACAUGCAAGUCGAACGAACUUAACCAUUAGUUUACUAUUGGAGCGGUUAGUGGCGGACUGGUGAGUAACACGUAAGCAACCUGCCUAUCAGAGGGGGAACAACAGUUAGAAAUGACUGCUAAUACCGCAUAUGCCUUAGAAUCGACAUGGUUCAAAAGGGAAAGGAGCAAUCCACUGAUAGAUGGGGCUUGCGU
Molecule: ribosomal RNA, 239 nt
Filed under: uncultured bacterium
Lineage: Bacteria
Description: partial 16S ribosomal RNA
Rfam family: Bacterial small subunit ribosomal RNA
Source: RNAcentral